This 73-nucleotide transfer RNA is filed under the name Streptomyces albus. Its description in RNAcentral is "tRNA-Glu". The record is from RNAcentral. RNAcentral also lists the same sequence under 2 other names. Lineage: Bacteria; Bacillati; Actinomycetota; Actinomycetes; Kitasatosporales; Streptomycetaceae.
UACCCCCGACCGGAUUCGAACCGGCGCUACCGCCUUGAGAGGGCGGCGUGCUAGGCCGCUACACAACGGGGGC